Molecule: ribosomal RNA, 466 nt
Filed under: Vreelandella stevensii
Lineage: Bacteria; Pseudomonadati; Pseudomonadota; Gammaproteobacteria; Oceanospirillales; Halomonadaceae
Description: partial 16S ribosomal RNA
Rfam family: Bacterial small subunit ribosomal RNA
Source: RNAcentral
CCUACGGGUGGGCUGCAGUGGGGAAUAUUGGACAAUGGGCGAAAGCCUGAUCCAGCCAUGCCGCGUGUGUGAAGAAGGCCUUCGGGUUGUAAAGCACUUUCAGUGGGGAAGAAAGCCUUGGGUCUAAUACCCUCGAGGAAGGACAUCACCCACAGAAGAAGCACCGGCUAACUCCGUGCCAGCAGCCGCGGUAAUACGGAGGGUGCGAGCGUUAAUCGGAAUUACUGGGCGUAAAGCGCGCGUAGGCGGUCUGAUAAGCCGGUUGUGAAAGCCCCGGGCUCAACCUGGGAACGGCAUCCGGAACUGUCAGGCUAGAGUGCAGGAGAGGAAGGUAGAAUUCCCGGUGUAGCGGUGAAAUGCGUAGAGAUCGGGAGGAAUACCAGUGGCGAAGGCGGCCUUCUGGACUGACACUGACGCUGAGGUGCGAAAGCGUGGGUAGCAAACAGGAUUAGAUACCCGAGUAGUC